CCUACGGGUGGCAGCAGUGGGGAAUAUUGGACAAUGGGCGAAAGCCUGAUCCAGCCAUGCCGCGUGUGUGAAGAAGGCCUUCGGGUUGUAAAGCACUUUCAGUGGGGAAGAAAGCCUUGGGGCUAAUACCCUCGAGGAAGGACAUCACCCACAGAAGAAGCACCGGCUAACUCCGUGCCAGCAGCCGCGGUAAUACGGAGGGUGCGAGCGUUAAUCGGAAUUACUGGGCGUAAAGCGCGCGUAGGCGGUCUGAUAAGCCGGUUGUGAAAGCCCCGGGCUCAACCUGGGAACGGCAUCCGGAACUGUCAGGCUAGAGUGCAGGAGAGGAAGGUAGAAUUCCCGGUGUAGCGGUGAAAGGCGUAGAGAUCGGGAGGAAUACCAGUGGCGAAGGCGGCCUUCUGGACUGACACUGACGCUGAGGUGCGAAAGCGUGGGUAGCAAACAGGAUUAGAUACCCUAGUAGUC
RNAcentral lists this ribosomal RNA (465 nucleotides) under Vreelandella stevensii. Its description in RNAcentral is "partial 16S ribosomal RNA". It matches the Rfam family "Bacterial small subunit ribosomal RNA", at positions 338 to 795 of the family's 1533-position model. Lineage: Bacteria; Pseudomonadati; Pseudomonadota; Gammaproteobacteria; Oceanospirillales; Halomonadaceae. The record is from RNAcentral.